This 773-nucleotide ribosomal RNA is filed under the name uncultured Neocallimastigales. RNAcentral's name for it is "partial large subunit ribosomal RNA". It matches the Rfam family "Eukaryotic large subunit ribosomal RNA", at positions 23 to 632 of the family's 3401-position model. The record is from RNAcentral. Lineage: Eukaryota; Fungi; Neocallimastigomycota; Neocallimastigomycetes; Neocallimastigales.
AGAGAGAGACAUGCGCGCAUAUCAAUAAGCGGAGGAAAAGAAACUAACAAGGAUUCCCCUAGUAACGGCGAGUGAAGCGGGAAGAGCUCAAAUUUGAAAUCUUAAAGGGUUUCCCUUUACGAAUUGUAGUUUAAAGAAGUGUUUUCUGUUGAGGUUUUGGUAAAAGUUCUUUGGAAUUGGACAUCAUAGAGGGUGAGAAUCCCGUAUUUGACCUUUACUUUCAACUUUGUGAUACACUUUCAAAGAGUCGGAUUGUUUGGGAAUGCAGUCCAAAAUGGGUGGUAAAUUUCAUCUAAAGCUAAAUAUUGGCGAGAGACCGAUAGCGAACAAGUACCGUGAGGGAAAGAUGAAAAGAACUUUGAAAAGAGAGUUAAACAGUACGUGAAAUUGUCAAAAGGGAAGCGUUUGACACCAGUGUUGUUUUUCUGAAAAUCAAUUAAAGAACUGUUUAUGCUAAGUUGUUUAGACUUUAUCAGCUAACUGUUUAGUUUUGAGCUUUUCUUUAAUGCACUUUUCAGUUAACAAGUCAACAUCAAUUUCUUUUGCUGUAAAAAAGCUUGAGGAAGGUGGCUUGAGAUUCGUCUUAAGUGUUUAUAGCCUCUUGCCUAUGCAGUCGGAGAGAUUGAGGUCUGCAGCGUAGAUCCUUCGGGGCUAAAUGCAUUUGUGCUAAGUUAUAGCAUUUUAUAGACAACUUGUUGACUAUGAUUUGUCUUGUAGCUUACUCGCUUAUGUUAUUUUACCUACGCUUAGGAUGUUGAAGACUCUACAGAGAU